GCCUCUUUAGCACAGUGGUAGUGCGUCGGUCUUGUAAACCGAAGGUCCCGAGUUCAAUCCUCGGAGGAGGCA
Catenaria anguillulae PL171 is the source of this 72-nucleotide transfer RNA. It matches the Rfam family "tRNA". From Rfam's summary of the family: Transfer RNA (tRNA) molecules are approximately 80 nucleotides in length. Their secondary structure includes four short double-helical elements and three loops (D, anti-codon, and T loops). Lineage: Eukaryota; Fungi; Blastocladiomycota; Blastocladiomycetes; Blastocladiales; Catenariaceae. The record is from Rfam.